AACUAACAAGGAUUCCCUCAGUAACUGCGAGUGAAGAGGGAAAAGCCCAGCACCGAAGGUAGUAUUUUUUUGAAUACUUACCAAUGUGGUGUUUAGGUCGGCUCACGGAAGUGUGGCUCCAUCUCAAGUCCUGCAUUGAGUACGGUUUUUUGGACUUGGCCCACAGUGGGUGAAAGGCCCGUGGAGGUGGAGUUCAGGUAUGUCCACAUUUUCUGUGUUCGAUCUUGGAGUCGGGUUGUUUGUGAAUGCAGCCCAAAGUGGGUGGUAGACUCCAUCCAAGGCUAAAUACUUGCACGAGUCCGAUAGCGAACAAGUACCGUGAGGGAAAGUUGAAAAGUACUUUGAAGAGAGAGUAAACAGUGCGUGAAGCCGCAUAGAGGUUAAACGGGUAGAGUUAAGCUGCGUGAUCUGUGGAUUCAGCUGGUGAAUUUGAAAUGGGCUUGGACAUGUCGUUCACGUCAGUCUGCGUUACGCGAAGUGCUUACCAAGUGCUGCGUUCGCAGAUGAUAUUCGGUUUGCCAGUGCACUUCCACAGUUCCUUAACCACGAUAGGUACCAAUAUCCUGUUCCCAUUGUCAAACUGUGGGCUUAGUCCCUGUGGCUCUGUUCACAGUAUGAUCGCAAACCCGUCCACACGGGUUUUGAUUGUCGGUGGGAUACAAUUUUUGGGACCUGGGCAACGGCUAUAGUAGUCUCGGGCACCUAAUUUUGGUUGGUGCCGGGUAUGGUUUCCGUGUGCUUGCGUGAGUAGGCCCGGAAGCUGCCUGGUAUCGUCCACUUUUAGGGCACCUGAGCCUACUUAUAACGGCCAAUGUCAGUGGUGUGUGGUAAACUUUCUACCCGACCCGUCUUGAAACACGGACCAAGGAGUUUUACAUGUGCGCGAGUCAUUGGGCCUUACGAAACCCAAAGGCAGAGUGAAAGUGAAGGUUUGUGGUGCAGACAGAGGUGAGAUCCUGUCGUCUCCUUUGCCGCCAAGCAUUCGAACGACAGGCGCAUCACCGGUCCGUCCGAUAAUGUGGUUGAGAUCAUGUGGUUUUGCGUCAUUGGGGCGGAACAUGAGCGUACACGUUGAGACCCGAAAGAUGGUGAACUAUGCUUGCACAGGUUGAAGCCAGGGGAAACCCUGGUGGAGGACCGCAGCGAUUCUGACGUGCAAAUCGAUCGUCAAAUGUGAGUAUAGGGGCGAAAGACU
The sequence is a ribosomal RNA, 1195 nucleotides long. It matches the Rfam family "Eukaryotic large subunit ribosomal RNA", at positions 63 to 932 of the family's 3401-position model.